ACGGGAGGCAGCAGUGGGGGAUAUUGCACAAUGGGGGAAACCCUGAUGCAGCGACGCCGCGUGAGUGAUGAAGUAUUUCGGUAUGUAAAGCUCUAUCAGCAGGGAAGAAAAUGACGGUACCUGACUAAGAAGCACCGGCUAAAUACGUGCCAGCAGCCGCGGUAAUACGGAAGGUCCGAGCGUUAUCCGGAUUUAUUGGGUUUAAAGGGAGCGCAGGCGGAGAUGCAAGCCAGCCGUAAAAUCGUUGAGCUCAACUCAAUCUCGCGGUUGGAACUGCAUCCCUUGAGUGCACUAGAGGGUGGUGGAAUUCGUGGUGUAGCGGUGAAAUGCAUAGAUAUCACGAAGAACUCCGAUUGCGAAGGCAGCCACCUGGGGUGUUACUGACGCUCAUGCUCGAAGGUGUGGGAAUCAAACAGGAUUAGAUACCCUGGUA
RNAcentral lists this ribosomal RNA (433 nucleotides) under uncultured Roseburia sp. RNAcentral describes it as "partial 16S ribosomal RNA". It matches the Rfam family "Bacterial small subunit ribosomal RNA", at positions 341 to 792 of the family's 1533-position model. Lineage: Bacteria; Bacillati; Bacillota; Clostridia; Lachnospirales; Lachnospiraceae. The record is from RNAcentral.